RNAcentral lists this ribosomal RNA (112 nucleotides) under Pogona vitticeps (central bearded dragon). Lineage: Eukaryota; Metazoa; Chordata; Lepidosauria; Squamata; Agamidae. The record is from RNAcentral.
CAUGACACUAUCCUGGACACAUCUGGUUAGGUUUGAUUUUAGAAGUUAAGCAGGGUUUGGUCUGGUUGAUAUAUGGAUAAGAGAUCCUCAGAGAAUCCCAGGGGUGUCAAGA